UACGUAGGGAGCGAGCGUUGUCCGGAUUCAUUGGGCGUAAAGAGCUCGUAGGCGGCUUGAUAAGUCGGAUGUGAAACCUCCAGGCUCAACCUGGAGUCGCCAUCCGAUACUGUCAUGGCUAGAGUCCGGUAGGGGCCCACGGAAUUCCUGGUGUAGCGGUGAAAUGCGCAGACUAUCAGGAGGAACACCGGUGGCGAAGGCGGUGGGCUGGGCCGGCACUGACGCUGGAGGAGCGAAAGCGUGGGGAGCGAACAGG
This 256-nucleotide ribosomal RNA is filed under the name uncultured bacterium. Its description in RNAcentral is "partial 16S ribosomal RNA". It matches the Rfam family "Bacterial small subunit ribosomal RNA", at positions 524 to 776 of the family's 1533-position model. The record is from RNAcentral.